Molecule: ribosomal RNA, 433 nt
Filed under: uncultured bacterium
Lineage: Bacteria
Description: partial 16S ribosomal RNA
Rfam family: Bacterial small subunit ribosomal RNA
Source: RNAcentral
AACGAACGCUGGCGGCAUGCCUAACACAUGCAAGUCGAACGAGACCUUCGGGCUUAGUGGCGCACGGGUGCGUAACGCGUGGGAACCUGCCCUUAGGUUCGGAAUAAUUCCCCGAAAGGGGUGCUAAUACCGGUUAAUGUCUUCGGACCUAAGAGUUAUUGCGUUGGGAUGGGCCCGCGUUGGAUUAGCUAGUUGGUAGGGUAAUAGCCUACCAAGGCGACGAUCCAUAGCUGGUCUGAGAGGAUGAUCAGCCACACUGGGACUGAGACGCGGCCCAGAAUCCUACGGGAGGGAGCAGUGGGGAAUAUUGGACCAUGGGCGAAAGCCUGAUCCAGCAAUGCCGGGUAAGUGAUGAAGGGCUUAGGGUUGUAAAGCUCUUUUACCCGGGAUGAUAGUGACAGUACCGGGAGAAUAAGCACCGGCUAACUACGUG